UUCAGAGAUAAGGAUGUGCCUUCGGGAACCGUGAGACAGGUGCUGCAUGGCUGUCGUCAGCUCGUGUUGUGAAAUGUUGGGUUAAGUCCCGCAACGAGCGCAACCCUUAUCCUUUGUUGCCAGCGGUCCGGCCGGGAACUCAAAGGAGACUGCCAGUGAUAAACUGGAGGAGGUGGGGAUGACGUCAAGUCAUCAUGGCCCUUACGACCAGGGCUACACACGUGCUACAAUGGCGCAUACAAAGAGAAGCGACCUCGCGAGAGCAAGCGGACCUCAUAAAGUGCGUCGUAGUCCGGAUUGGAGUCUGCAACUCGACUCCAUGAAGUCGGAAUCGCUAGUAAUCGUGGAUCAGAAUGCCACGGUGAAUACGUUCCCGGGCCUUGUACACACCG
RNAcentral lists this ribosomal RNA (392 nucleotides) under Escherichia coli. RNAcentral's name for it is "bacterial SSU rRNA". It matches the Rfam family "Bacterial small subunit ribosomal RNA", at positions 999 to 1392 of the family's 1533-position model. The record is from RNAcentral. Lineage: Bacteria; Pseudomonadati; Pseudomonadota; Gammaproteobacteria; Enterobacterales; Enterobacteriaceae.